RNAcentral lists this ribosomal RNA (405 nucleotides) under uncultured bacterium. RNAcentral's name for it is "bacterial SSU rRNA". It matches the Rfam family "Bacterial small subunit ribosomal RNA", at positions 357 to 777 of the family's 1533-position model. The record is from RNAcentral.
GGGAAUAUUGGGCAAUGGGCGCAAGCCUGACCCAGCAACGCCGCGUGAAGGAAGAAGGCUUUCGGGUUGUAAACUUCUUUUAAGAGGGAAGAGCAGAAGACGGUACCUCUUGAAUAAGCCACGGCUAACUACGUGCCAGCAGCCGCGGUAAUACGUAGGUGGCAAGCGUUGUCCGGAUUUACUGGGUGUAAAGGGCGUGCAGCCGGGCUUACAAGUCAGAUGUGAAAUCCUGCGGCUCAACCGCAGAACUGCAUUUGAAACUGUAGGUCUUGAGUACUGGAGAGGCAGACGGAAUUCCUAGUGUAGCGGUGAAAUGCGUAGAUAUUAGGAGGAACACCAGUGGCGAAGGCGGUCUGCUGGACAGCAACUGACGGUGAGGCGCGAAAGCGUGGGGAGCAAACAGGA